GAAGAAGGGAUAUCAGAUUAUCUAUAAUCAUUACCUGCAGGGAGAUUUCUCUCUGAACAUCACUGAUGCUGAUUUCAGUAAGAGAGGAUAUUACACAUGUGACUGUGGUAAUAAGGAUAUCUGUGAUGUGCGUCUUCAGAUCGAGAGUAAGUGUUCAGCUGUUAUUUCAGUAAUAAAAUCUGGGUAAAAAUGAUUUGUAGGAAAGUUAAGGUUAAAAUGUGCUUGUGUUUCUCCUCAGCUUUGAACUCCACAGUUCUUAUAAAACCUGGAGAUCCUCUGUUUCUGGAAAUGGACGUGACGGACCCAGUUAAGGUGUAUUAUAAUAAUAGUGAUGGUGUUGGUCUGUCACGUACUCCGGUCUGUACAGUGAAUGAGCUGCGGUGUAAUAAUAAUUACUCUCAGAGAGUGGUCUCUGCUGUACAGCUGAAGGAAAUUAAGACGUCUGACAGCGGAGUUUACACCAUCCGCGACUCCAGCAACGAACACGCGAUCCAUGUCUACACAGUGUCCGUCCAAGGACAAUGCUCGUCCUGCUGCCGCUGCUGCCACUUAGUGGGUGAAACAGAUAUGAACUCACACAGGGGGUCAUUAGAAAAGUGCCUUCAGUGGCUAAAAACCUGCUUCAGGGUAAGUAGGACACCAUCAGCAACCACCAGCAUUACAUUACCACUCUUAAACACUACUUACUUAAAUUACUUACAGUUCAUACUAAAGUAUAACAA
RNAcentral lists this long non-coding RNA (722 nucleotides) under Astyanax mexicanus (Mexican tetra). RNAcentral describes it as "lncRNA (ENSAMXG00005011449.1)". Lineage: Eukaryota; Metazoa; Chordata; Actinopteri; Characiformes; Acestrorhamphidae. The record is from RNAcentral.